Molecule: ribosomal RNA, 440 nt
Filed under: uncultured bacterium
Lineage: Bacteria
Description: partial 16S ribosomal RNA
Rfam family: Bacterial small subunit ribosomal RNA
Source: RNAcentral
CCUACGGGUGGCUGCAGUGGGGAAUAUUGCACAAUGGGGGAAACCCUGAUGCAGCGACGCCGCGUGAGUGAAGAAGUAUUUCGGUAUGUAAAGCUCUAUCAGCAGGGAAGAAAAUGACGGUACCUGAUUAAGAAGCCCCGGCUAACUACGUGCCAGCAGCCGCGGUAAAAAGUAGGGGGCAAGCGUUAUCCGGAUUUACUGGGUGUAAAGGGAGCGUAGACGGCAGCACAAGUCUGGAGUGAAAUGCCGGGGCUUAACCCCGGAAGUGCCGUGGAAACUGUGUAGCUAGAGUGCAGGAGAGGUAAGUGGAAUGCCUGGUGUAGCGGUGAAAUGCGUAGAUAUUAGGAGGAACACCAGUGGCGAAGGCGGCUUACUGGAGCGCAACUGACGUUGAGGCUCGAAAGCGUGGGGAGCAAACAGGAUUAGAUACCCCGGUAGUC